RNAcentral lists this ribosomal RNA (468 nucleotides) under uncultured bacterium. Its description in RNAcentral is "partial 16S ribosomal RNA". It matches the Rfam family "Bacterial small subunit ribosomal RNA", at positions 28 to 507 of the family's 1533-position model. The record is from RNAcentral.
GACGAACGCUGGCGGCGUGCUUAACACAUGCGAGUCGAACGGAAAGGCCCUGCUUUUGUGGGGUGCUCGAGUGGCGAACGGGUGAGUAACACGUGAGUAACCUGCCCUUGACUUUGGGAUAACUUCAGGAAACUGGGGCUAAUACCGGAUAGGAGCUCCUGCUGCAUGGGGGGGGUUGGAAAGUUUCGGCGGUUGGGGAUGGACUCGCGGCUUAUCAGCUUGUUGGUGGGGUAGUGGCUUACCAAGGCUUUGACGGGUAGCCGGCCUGGGAGGGUGACCGGCCACAUUGGGACUGCGAUACGGCCCAGACUCCUACGGGAGGCAGCAGUGGGGAAUAUUGCACAAUGGGCGGGAGCCUGAUGCAGCAACGCCGCGUGCGGGAUGACGGCCUUCGGGUUGUAAACCGCUUUCGCCUGUGACGAAGCGUGAGUGACGGUAAUGGGUAAAGAAGCACCGGCUAACUACGUG